RNAcentral lists this ribosomal RNA (1357 nucleotides) under uncultured bacterium. RNAcentral describes it as "bacterial SSU rRNA". It matches the Rfam family "Bacterial small subunit ribosomal RNA", at positions 28 to 1395 of the family's 1533-position model. The record is from RNAcentral.
CGUGAACGCUGGCGGCAUGGCUAAAGCAUGCAAGUCGAACGCGAAAGGGGGCAACCCUGAGUAGAGUGGCGGACGGGCGAGUAAUGCAUUCCUAACGUACCCUGAGGUCGGGGAUAGCUGGGGGAAACCCCAGGUAAUACCCGAUGACCCGGUGGAGGCGCAUGCCUCAGCCGGCAAAGGCUUGCUGCCUCGGGAUCGGGGAAUGUCCUAUCAGGUCGUUGGUGGGGUAAUGGCCUACCAAGCCUAAGACGGGUAGCCGGUGUGAGAGCACGACCGGCCGCAUCGGAACUGAGACACUGUCCGGACUCCUACGGGAGGCUGCAGCGACGAAUCUUCCGCAAUGGGCGCAAGCCUGACGGAGCAAUGCCGCGUGUGGGAUGAAGCCCUUCGGGGUGUAAACCACUGUCAGGGUUUAGCAACACAAUGAGCAAACCCAAAGGAAGGGGCGGCUAACUCUGUGCCAGCAGCCGCGGUAAUACAGAGGCCCCGAGCGUUACGCGGUGUCACUGGGCUUAAAGGGUGCGUAGGCGGAGGCGCAAGUGCUUUGUGAAAUCCCACGGCUCAACCGUGGAAUUGCGGGGCAUACUGCGUCUCUUGAGGCCGGUAAGGGUAGCUGGAACUGUAGGUGUAGCGGUGAAAUGCGUAGAUAUCUACAGGAACGCCGAUGGUGAAGACGAGCUACUGGGCCGGUUCUGACGCUGAGGCACGAAAGCGUGGGGAUCAAACAGGAUUAGAUACCCUGGUAGUCCACGCCGUAAACGAUGUGCACUGGAUCUGGGAGGUUCUGACACCACCCGGGUCGUAGAAAAAUCAUUAAGUGCACCGCCUGGGGAGUACGGUCGCAAGGCUAAAACUCAAAGGAAUUGACGGGGGCUCACACAAGCGGUGGAGCAUGUGGUUCAAUUCGAAGCAACGCGAAGAACCUUAUCCUGGGCUUGACAUGCACGGAUUAGUUCCUUGAAAGAGGAAUAACGCGGCUUGCCGUGGAACGUGCACAGGUGCUGCAUGGCUGUCGUCAGCUCGUGCUGUGAAGUGUUGGGUUAAGUCCCUUAACGAGCGAAACCCCUGCCGUUAGUUGCCAUCAGGUUAUGCUGGGCACUCUAGCGGGACUGCCGGUGUCAAACCGGAGGAAGGCGGGGAUGACGUCAAGUCCUCAUGGCCUUUAUGCCCAGGGCUACACACGUGCUACAAUGGCGUCUACAAAGCGAAGCAAUACCGCGAGGUGGAGCAAAUCGCAAAAAGGACGCCCCAGUUCAGAUUGCAGUCUGCAACUCGACUGCAUGAAGUUGGAAUCGCUAGUAAUCGCGUAUCAGCUACGACGCGGUGAAUACGUUCCUGAGCCUUGUACACACCGCCC